CUUUAUGAGUCAUUGAAGUCAGUGGCAAGAAAAAAGUCUGGAUGAUUGGCAGUGGCCUUCAGUGCAGUGGAUGUCCUUGGCAUCGUUCAAAUCUGACCAAGCUCUAAGAAAUCCAUGGCACCGACUUCAGCCAUCUUCAUGGUUGUUGGAGCAAACUGUUCUCAUGUGCCCAUUUGAUCAGAAUGGAGGGAGGCAACAGUCUUCACAUGUGUGGGGUAGACACCUCCCUAACUCACUGACAGCUCUGAGGCAAUGGCCAGGGAAGUCUGUCUUUGUGUCUGCUCCGGGAAAUCCUGAAUCUCCUCUGUAAACAGAUGACGCUGCAUGCAGAUGGGCAGACCAGAAUGAAUCCCAGCAAAUACAGGAUCUAGUCACCAGAUGUGGUGAGAGUGCAAGACCACAAGAUGGAAUAAAGAUCUCAAAAUCCA
Monodelphis domestica (gray short-tailed opossum) is the source of this 428-nucleotide long non-coding RNA. RefSeq lists it as uncharacterized. Lineage: Eukaryota; Metazoa; Chordata; Mammalia; Didelphimorphia; Didelphidae. The record is from RefSeq and is a predicted model, not a curated record.